GUGGAAACAGGUGCUAAUACCGUAUAACAGAGAAAACCGCGUGGUUUUCUUUUAAAAGAUGGCUCUGCUAUCACUUCUGGAUGGACCCGCGGCGCAUUAGCUAGUUGGUGAGGUAACGGCUCACCAAGGCGAUGAUGCGUAGCCGACGUGAGAGGGUAAUCGGCCACAUUGGGAGUGAGACACGGCCCAGACUCCUACGGGAGGCAGCAGUAGGGAAUCUUCCACAAUGGACGCAAGUCUGAUGGAGCAACGCCGCGUGAGAGAAGAAGGGUUUCGGCUCGUAAAGCUCUGUUAUAAAGAAGAACGUGGGUGAGAGUAACUCUUCACCCAGUGACGGUAUUUAACCAGAAAGCCACGGCUAACUA
RNAcentral lists this ribosomal RNA (365 nucleotides) under uncultured bacterium. Its description in RNAcentral is "bacterial SSU rRNA". It matches the Rfam family "Bacterial small subunit ribosomal RNA", at positions 150 to 503 of the family's 1533-position model. The record is from RNAcentral.